Molecule: long non-coding RNA, 1427 nt
Organism: Mus musculus (house mouse)
Lineage: Eukaryota; Metazoa; Chordata; Mammalia; Rodentia; Muridae
Product: predicted gene, 30246
Exons: 3
Source: RefSeq, a predicted model, not a curated record
ACAUUUAAACACCCAUGGUCUGCCAUGUAAUAGUGUUAGGAAAGAACCCAACAGCAGAGGUCACAGACAAAUCCUUCUGCCCCAUUCUGCAGCUGCCAUUUUCGGCCUAUGCUGCUCUUACCAGGGCAACUAUGGCAAUGCUGGACUUACAAUUUACCCUCCAGCCUUUUCCCUGUGGCCUGUGUUGCUCCAAUAGCUCAGCCAUCAGGUCAUGUGCCGGCUCAAAGUCCUCUAUUAACUCUUCACUUGUGAUAAGAGGCAUUCCACACUCCCACCAGAUAGUCGAUGCGCCAUAAUGAGCCUCCUCUUUGGUGUCCAGACGGAAUUAUGUCGUGUCUCAUCGUCGGCUUUUGAUAGCUCUGAGAAGGUUUUUUCUUUGUGCUCAGAGUUAUGGCUCCCUCUGCACCCACCCUCUCAAGACCCAUUCUCUUACCCCUCCCUCGAUGUCUGCCCCAGUGUAGCCCACAUUCUCGUUGCCAAUACAUGCACCUGCCUGUUCAUGUUCCUAAGCAAUCACUUUGUGUUUUAUUUUCCUAUAUCCACAAGGGACAGAGAUGGAUACAACUCCUGGAGAGGCAGGACCCCAUCACACCAUUUUCUCAUACAAUUUGCUAGUGGUUUUCAGCUGACCUGCUCAGGCAACAUUUUUGCUCCUUUUUCUUCAGAAGCCCGAGAAGGACUUGCUACCCCUGAGAUAAUUUCCUUUGCAAUAAUCCAUGCCCAUUUUAAAAUAGUUUAAUCUCUUACACUGCCUGUGCAUCUAUCCUCCAGACACCGUUUGUUGAGUAGGCAAGGAGGGAGGGUCCAUUGAGAUUGAAUAUAAAUCUAUUGUGUCUCUAGUGGCCAUAUUUGGACAUAUUUACAUGUACCUACAAAGCCACUCUAGAAAUGUUUGGGUCCUUACUUGCAAAUGAGGGGAACUGAAACUCAGUGAGGGUUAACUUUUUUUUUUCUGAGAUGCCAGUCUGAUGCCAGACAUGGUGCCAAAGAGGAAAAAAUGUUUCAGGAUGGUACUUGUUAGGAUGGUCUUCACAGAUGCAGUGGCGACAGGCCAGACCUUGGCUGGGUGGGCAGGAGGGAAGCGCACUUUGUGUGAGCAGCAUCCCAACGACUUCAGAUGCAAGGUGACAAUGUGAGCAUUUACACGUCCAGAGACAGAGACCUGUCCUCAUUUCCCUUUCCAAUGAAGUACUAAAGUCAAUUACCUAGAUGGGAGCAGGCAAACACUGAAACGAGCCAGACGGGUCAAAGUUCAGCGCAUGUGUCUUGAAGCCCAUCAUGGAAAAAGGAGAAAGUUUCCAACCCUCAUGGGACCCAGUUGGAAUCCGUGGAUUGACAAGAGGAAGGAACACUGAGAAAUAACCCUUUGCUUCCACAUUGACUGCUGAGAGGAUCCAGAUGUGGAUCCGUUCUUUCUUCAGCACCAU